RNAcentral lists this ribosomal RNA (2902 nucleotides) under Klebsiella pneumoniae. RNAcentral describes it as "23S ribosomal RNA". It matches the Rfam family "Bacterial large subunit ribosomal RNA". RNAcentral also lists the same sequence under 1 other name. Lineage: Bacteria; Pseudomonadati; Pseudomonadota; Gammaproteobacteria; Enterobacterales; Enterobacteriaceae. The record is from RNAcentral.
GGUUAAGCGACUAAGCGUACACGGUGGAUGCCCUGGCAGUCAGAGGCGAUGAAGGACGUGCUAAUCUGCGAAAAGCGUCGGUAAGGUGAUAUGAACCGUUAUAGCCGGCGAUGUCCGAAUGGGGAAACCCAGUGCAAUUCGUUGCACUAUCGUUAACUGAAUACAUAGGUUAACGAGGCGAACCGGGGGAACUGAAACAUCUAAGUACCCCGAGGAAAAGAAAUCAACCGAGAUUCCCCCAGUAGCGGCGAGCGAACGGGGAGCAGCCCAGAGUCUGAAUCAGCUUGUGUGUUAGUGGAACGGUCUGGAAAGUCCGACGGUACAGGGUGAUAGUCCCGUACACCAAAAUGCACAGGCUGUGAACUCGAAGAGUAGGGCGGGACACGUGGUAUCCUGUCUGAAUAUGGGGGGACCAUCCUCCAAGGCUAAAUACUCCUGACUGACCGAUAGUGAACCAGUACCGUGAGGGAAAGGCGAAAAGAACCCCGGCGAGGGGAGUGAAAAAGAACCUGAAACCGUGUACGUACAAGCAGUGGGAGCACCUUCGGGUGUGACUGCGUACCUUUUGUAUAAUGGGUCAGCGACUUAUAUUCUGUAGCAAGGUUAACCGUAUAGGGGAGCCGCAGGGAAACCGAGUCUUAACUGGGCGUUAAGUUGCAGGGUAUAGACCCGAAACCCGGUGAUCUAGCCAUGGGCAGGUUGAAGGUUGGGUAACACUAACUGGAGGACCGAACCGACUAAUGUUGAAAAAUUAGCGGAUGACUUGUGGCUGGGGGUGAAAGGCCAAUCAAACCGGGAGAUAGCUGGUUCUCCCCGAAAGCUAUUUAGGUAGCGCCUCGUGAAUUCAUCUUCGGGGGUAGAGCACUGUUUCGGCUAGGGGGUCAUCCCGACUUACCAACCCGAUGCAAACUACGAAUACCGAAGAAUGUUAUCACGGGAGACACACGGCGGGUGCUAACGUCCGUCGUGAAGAGGGAAACAACCCAGACCGCCAGCUAAGGUCCCAAAGUCAUGGUUAAGUGGGAAACGAUGUGGGAAGGCACAGACAGCCAGGAUGUUGGCUUAGAAGCAGCCAUCAUUUAAAGAAAGCGUAAUAGCUCACUGGUCGAGUCGGCCUGCGCGGAAGAUGUAACGGGGCUAAACCAUGCACCGAAGCUGCGGCAGCGACACUAUGUGUUGUUGGGUAGGGGAGCGUUCUGUAAGCCUGCGAAGGUGACCUGUGAGGGUUGCUGGAGGUAUCAGAAGUGCGAAUGCUGACAUAAGUAACGAUAAAGCGGGUGAAAAGCCCGCUCGCCGGAAGACCAAGGGUUCCUGUCCAACGUUAAUCGGGGCAGGGUGAGUCGACCCCUAAGGCGAGGCCGAAAGGCGUAGUCGAUGGGAAACAGGUUAAUAUUCCUGUACUUGGUGUUACUGCGAAGGGGGGACGGAGAAGGCUAUGUUAGCCGGGCGACGGUUGUCCCGGUUUAAGCAUGUAGGCUGGUUAUCCAGGCAAAUCCGGAUAAUCAAGGCUGAGGUGUGAUGACGAGGCACUACGGUGCUGAAGUAACAAAUGCCCUGCUUCCAGGAAAAGCCUCUAAGCAUCAGGUAACAUCAAAUCGUACCCCAAACCGACACAGGUGGUCAGGUAGAGAAUACCAAGGCGCUUGAGAGAACUCGGGUGAAGGAACUAGGCAAAAUGGUGCCGUAACUUCGGGAGAAGGCACGCUGGUGUGUAGGUGAAGCCCCUGCGGGUGGAGCUGAGACCAGUCGAAGAUACCAGCUGGCUGCAACUGUUUAUUAAAAACACAGCACUGUGCAAACACGAAAGUGGACGUAUACGGUGUGACGCCUGCCCGGUGCCGGAAGGUUAAUUGAUGGGGUUAUCCGUAAGGAGAAGCUCUUGAUCGAAGCCCCGGUAAACGGCGGCCGUAACUAUAACGGUCCUAAGGUAGCGAAAUUCCUUGUCGGGUAAGUUCCGACCUGCACGAAUGGCGUAAUGAUGGCCAGGCUGUCUCCACCCGAGACUCAGUGAAAUUGAACUCGCUGUGAAGAUGCAGUGUACCCGCGGCAAGACGGAAAGACCCCGUGAACCUUUACUAUAGCUUGACACUGAACAUUGAGCCUUGAUGUGUAGGAUAGGUGGGAGGCUUUGAAGCGUGGACGCCAGUCUGCGUGGAGCCAACCUUGAAAUACCACCCUUUAAUGUUUGAUGUUCUAACGUUGGCCCCUUACCGGGGUUGCGGACAGUGUCUGGUGGGUAGUUUGACUGGGGCGGUCUCCUCCCAAAGCGUAACGGAGGAGCACGAAGGUUAGCUAAUCCUGGUCGGACAUCAGGAGGUUAGUGCAAUGGCAUAAGCUAGCUUGACUGCGAGCGUGACGGCGCGAGCAGGUGCGAAAGCAGGUCAUAGUGAUCCGGUGGUUCUGAAUGGAAGGGCCAUCGCUCAACGGAUAAAAGGUACUCCGGGGAUAACAGGCUGAUACCGCCCAAGAGUUCAUAUCGACGGCGGUGUUUGGCACCUCGAUGUCGGCUCAUCACAUCCUGGGGCUGAAGUAGGUCCCAAGGGUAUGGCUGUUCGCCAUUUAAAGUGGUACGCGAGCUGGGUUUAGAACGUCGUGAGACAGUUCGGUCCCUAUCUGCCGUGGGCGCUGGAGAAUUGAGGGGGGCUGCUCCUAGUACGAGAGGACCGGAGUGGACGCAUCACUGGUGUUCGGGUUGUCAUGCCAAUGGCACUGCCCGGUAGCUAAAUGCGGAAGAGAUAAGUGCUGAAAGCAUCUAAGCACGAAACUUGCCCCGAGAUGAGUUCUCCCUGAGACUUUAAGUCUCCUGAAGGAACGUUAAAGACGAUGACGUUGAUAGGCCGGGUGUGUAAGCGCAGCGAUGCGUUGAGCUAACCGGUACUAAUGAACCGUGAGGCUUAACCUU